UGGGCUCGAAAUGUAGUGGACCGGGGUAGAAAUAUCCCUUCCUAGCAAUAGGCUGCUAUAUAGGUGCUGCAUGGCUGUCGUCAGCUCGUGUCGUGAGAUGUUGGGUUAAGUCCCGCAACGAGCGCAACCCUUAUUACCAGUUGCUACCAUUUAGUUGAGCACUCUGGUGAGACCGCCUCGGAUAACGGGGAGGAAGGCGGGGAUGACGUCAAGUCCUCAUGGCCUUUAUGUCCAGGGCUACACACGUGCUACAAUGGCCGAUACAAACCGUCGCAAACCCGCGAGGGGGAGCUAAUCGGAAAAAGUCGGCCUCAGUUCGGAUUACAGUCUGCAACUCGACUGUAUGAAGCUGGAAUCGCUAGUAAUCGCGGAUCAGAAUGCCGCGGUGAAUACGUUCCCG
This 400-nucleotide ribosomal RNA is filed under the name uncultured Acidobacterium sp. RNAcentral's name for it is "bacterial SSU rRNA". It matches the Rfam family "Bacterial small subunit ribosomal RNA", at positions 976 to 1376 of the family's 1533-position model. The record is from RNAcentral. Lineage: Bacteria; Pseudomonadati; Acidobacteriota; Terriglobia; Terriglobales; Acidobacteriaceae.